AUCGUCUUUCCCUCUCUUCAGAGUUAUCAGCACAGACCCAUCAUGGCACGGUGUCUAGGUUCGUUGACGACCAACUCAUAAAAAUGAAGCUUGGAGGGGUUCACGACUUCAAGGGUUCUCAGUCGACGAAUACAUAUGAUAUGGUGCCCUGAGAAAUUCCUAAAAACAGAGAGGUUCAAGCACUUUGUGCUUCUCAAGUAACCAAAUAUAUGGGCAUUGUAGAGGUCGAGCACCUUUGCUGCUACUCCAUGUUAAGAUUCCCCACUUGUGCUCUUGGUGAUGCACAUGGGGUUUGUUUUCUCCCCUUUCUUUUUUUCAUCUUAUUUGAUUUCUUUAUCUCAGGCCUCUAAUUUCUUGUCUAGGUUUUGUUUGUGCCGUCAGAUUUAGUGGGUAUUUUCCCUGUUUCCCAUAUCUUAUUGUUGUUUUCCAUACACCUAUGUGAUGAACCGCCCAAUAUGCUUUCUAAAAAACAUGAGUUUUAGAUGUAGUUUGCCCAGAUUUAGGUUUUGUGUGCUCAGAUUUGGGUUCUUGAUAAUCUCUUGGGUUCUAGAUGUAGUUUGCCCAUAUAUGGAUUUUGUGUGCCCACAUCUGGGUUCUCGAUAAAUGUCUAUUGGGUUCUUGAUAAUCUCUUGGGUUCUAGAUGUAGUUUGCCCAUAUAUGGAUUUUGUGUGCCCACAUCUGGGUUCUCGAUAAAUGUCUAUGGGUAUUUUUUCUAUAAAUUUAUUGUACUAAGUUAUGUUCAAACAAUGAAACAUGCUAAUAUUGUAGUGACUUGUCUAUGGUGCUUGAGGAUCUAGAUCAAACAAUGAAACAUGCUAAUAUGAAGAUGGAAAGCAUAUAGCAAAAUAAAUUUAAAUGUAUUCUUUCAGACAACCCAUCAAGCUUAUUCUACAAUCACUUCUACCUGGAAGCUUUAGUUGCAAUCUAAAUCCAUACAAAAUUGUGUUCUUACAGAGAGAUCCUUCAAACAAUAGAGCUACCUCCAAAUUUGCUGGAUGAUGGCUCUGAAUUAUGGGAGGCAUUUCUAAUUUGUUCUUUGUUAAGUUGAUGUUUUGCAUUAUGAUGUAAACAACAAUGAAUAUGUAGUGUAUUGUGAGGGUUGAUAUCUAUUAUUAAUUAUUAUUUUUUA
Juglans microcarpa x Juglans regia is the source of this 1129-nucleotide long non-coding RNA. RefSeq lists it as uncharacterized. Lineage: Eukaryota; Viridiplantae; Streptophyta; Magnoliopsida; Fagales; Juglandaceae. The record is from RefSeq and is a predicted model, not a curated record. The transcript is spliced from 2 exons.